CGCUGUUAACUUCCGAAACAUGAAUCGCCACCAGCUCGCCCAAGUUUCUCUUCUAGCACCGAGAAUGCGUUUCGCUCUCGCCACUUUUCCCUCCGUCCCCUGGCGUUGCAGUACCGAAGGCAUGCGCAGUCUAUUCUGCGCGCAGCCGAGCCUGCGCUGCUGCUCAGAACCGGAUGGGUGCACGAAGAAGCGUGAAUGCCCUGUGCCUUUUGUUGCUUCCUAUGCGGACCUCGCCCGCUGCCAGAAGGACGUGGUGGCUUCUCGGAGGAGGGAGGACCCUCGGGCUUUCUUCCACGUCCUGCUUCUUCCCGUGAGCUGUCGUUUGUCCACUGCGCUUGCACCACGUUUUGCUUGCGAAACACGCGUCAACUAGCCCGGCAACGUUUUCAGUACCAGCGGCUUCGCCGCCACGAUUACAAGCUUGUCGUUGCACCGCUAUCGGGUGAAACGUAACUAGCCGAACGCUUCAAAAUAACACCGUCAGAAAAAAGUGAGUUUGCCGCUAGAUAAGCUCGUGAGUUUAGGAAGUGAAAUUAUCGCAGAGACAUAUUGCACGGACGCUUACGAACACCGUGACUGCCAACGCUGUUUGUUAUUCACUCGACCCAUUGUCUGCCUGCUCUCCCCUGCGAUUCUAUCCACACCCUCUCUGGACGGUUUCACGUUGUAGAAAGCUUGCAGUUGCCCUAUAGGUGAAGCUUCCAAGGACAAUGCAAGAGGAAUGCCGCUGCCACUUUGUACGCAGCGGCUGCAGCGGGACACGAAGGCGUUUCGGCAGUGGCGAUUCUGGUUGUGCCAGAAUUACCGCCGUCACCUCGACGAUGCAGUCGAUGCUGGAUUCUGUGAUGACGCUUCUGGCCUGCGCCCGCUGACUUCUUCCAGCUCGCGUUGCCGAACACCAGUCGAGCAAGCGGAGAUUUCGCAGUCCGCGUGUUUGCAGGCAAGGUCUCGUCCAGGUAUAGCCAGACUUCCGGACUAGCCUGCACCGGCAGCGGUUCCACUAAAGAAGUGAUCGUGCCAUUUUUGUUAGCAGCGUUUCACCGUGACUACGCAAGACAAACAGCGAGUAAGGCUGUCGUGAUGCGAGAACUUUGGUCUUUUUCGUAAAAGGGAAAAAAAGACUUCACGAUUGUAGGAUAACGACGGUGCGUGCAUGGGUAAAAACGUUUAUGUUGGUGCACAAAGAGUUAAGCUAAAGCAAUUCGAACAUUUUCGAACACGUAAUUUUUGAGAUCAAUAAAAUUCUUUAAUGCGCGCAAGGUAAUUUCAGAGGAAAUACGGCUGCGAAGAGAUAAAUCCACCCAACAAGCUCCUCUAUAUAUUUAACAUAACGUAAUAUCUAAUAUCGAAGGCAAAAACUAUGCUCUUAGUUUAUUUUUAGACCUGAAGCAGGCUUUUAAUUCUAUGGAUCAUGAAAUUCUAUUCAGGAAAUUAGGGAAGUAAAGAAUACGGGGCGUUGCUACUUAUUUGCUUGAAAGGUAUUUAAAUAAUCGGUGACAGUUCGUGCGUAUGCAGGAUGUUUCGUGUAACUUUUUAACGCUUCAAGAAGGCGUCCCUCAGGGCUCCAAAUUAGCUCCGUUGUUAUUCCUUACCUUCGUAAACGAUAUUAACCUACUUCAUUCACCAGAAUUGAUAAUGUACGCCGACGAUACGAAUAUAUCUUUUAAAUCGCAUGGCCUGAAUAAAUUAGAACACCAUGCGAAUCGCUACCUUGUAUCACUAGAACGGUGGCUGAAAUAAAAUAAAUUGCAACU
Dermacentor andersoni is the source of this 1754-nucleotide long non-coding RNA. RefSeq lists it as uncharacterized. The record is from RefSeq and is a predicted model, not a curated record. Lineage: Eukaryota; Metazoa; Arthropoda; Arachnida; Ixodida; Ixodidae.